GACCAAAGUAGAAGUUUGACAUUCAUGAGAAGGUGUGUUGUAUCGACUUGAUAUUUUGUCUUGUAUACAUUUGAAGUAUAUUCUGAAAGGGAGUCAUGCGUCAUGCAUGCACUGUGAGUGUGUGUUAUUGUGUGUGUGUGUGUACGUUUCUGUAUAUUCAAGUAUUAAGUAUUUAUGGUGUAAAUACCUGUAGCUCCAAUAUGCUCCUGAGCACAACAAGUAAAGACCAUGUAUUCUGGAGGAAGAAGUCAAAGGUUGGUCAGUGUUGCCUGUUCUUCAAGGCAGGAGUAGUAUUGUGUUCUUUAAGGCAGGAGUAGUAGUGUGUUCUUCAAGGCAGGAGUAGUAUUGUGUUCUUCAGGGCAGGAGUAGUAUUGUGUUCUUCAAGGCAGGAGUAGUACUGUGUUCUUCAAGGCAGGAGUAGUAUUGUGUUCUUCAAGGCAGGAGUAGUAGUGUGUUCUUCAAGGCAGGAGUAGUAGUGUGUUCUUCAAGGCAGGAGUAGUAUUGUGUUCUUCAAGGCA
Oncorhynchus tshawytscha (Chinook salmon) is the source of this 518-nucleotide long non-coding RNA. Lineage: Eukaryota; Metazoa; Chordata; Actinopteri; Salmoniformes; Salmonidae. The record is from Ensembl.